AAACUGGGAUUAGAUACCCCACUAUGCCCAGCCGUAAACCUUAAUUUACACCAAAAUCGCCAGGGAACUACGAGCUAAGCUUAAAACCCAAAGGACUUGACGGUACCCCAUAUCCACCUAGAGGAGCCUGUUCUAUAAUCGAUAACCCCCGUUAAACCUCACCACCUUUAGCUUAUCAGCCUGUAUACCUCCGUCGUCAGCUUACCACGUGAGCGGCUUCAGUGAGCUCAGUGUCCACUCGUCAAAACGUCAGGUCAAGGUGCAGCUUAUAAGGUGGGAAGAGAUGGGCUACACUCUCUAAUCUAGAGCACACGAAAGACUACGAAUGAAAAAUAAUCUAAAGGCGGAUUUAGUAGUAAAAAGAGACAAGAGAGCUCUUUUAAACCCGGCACUGGGGUGUGUACACACCGCCCGUCACCCUCUUCAAAGCUCGUAACCCAGUAUUUAACUAAACAAAGCAUAAAAGAAGAGGCAAGUCGUAACAUGGUAAGUAUACCGGAAGGUGUGCUUGGAAA
This 515-nucleotide ribosomal RNA is filed under the name Ololygon sp. KAV6. RNAcentral describes it as "partial 12S small subunit ribosomal RNA". It matches the Rfam family "Bacterial small subunit ribosomal RNA", at positions 769 to 1522 of the family's 1533-position model. The record is from RNAcentral. Lineage: Eukaryota; Metazoa; Chordata; Amphibia; Anura; Hylidae.